Molecule: ribosomal RNA, 506 nt
Filed under: uncultured bacterium
Lineage: Bacteria
Description: partial 16S ribosomal RNA
Rfam family: Bacterial small subunit ribosomal RNA
Source: RNAcentral
AGUGAACGCUGGCGGUAGGCCUAACACAUGCAAGUCGAACGGCAGCACAGGAGAGCUUGCUCUCUGGGUGGCGAGUGGCGGACGGGUGAGGAAUACAUCGGAAUCUACUUUUUCGUGGGGGAUAACGUAGGGAAACUUACGCUAAUACCGCAUACGACCUACGGGUGAAAGCAGGGGAUCUUCGGACCUUGCGCGAUUGAAUGAGCCGAUGUCGGAUUAGCUAGUUGGCGGGGUAAAGGCCCACCAAGGCGACGAUCCGUAGCUGGUCUGAGAGGAUGGUCAGCCACACUGGGACUGAGACACGGUCCAGACUCCUACGGGAGGCAGCGGUGGGGAAUAUUGGACAACGGGCGCAAGCCUGAUCCAGCCAUACCGCGUGGGUGAAGAAGGCCUUCGGGUUGUAAAGCCCUUUUGUUGGGAAAGAAAUCCAGCUGGUUAAUACCCGGUUGGGAUGGCGGUACCCAAAGAAUAAGCACCGGCUAACUUCGUGCCAGCAGCCGCCGUAA